RNAcentral lists this transfer RNA (109 nucleotides) under Candidatus Aenigmatarchaeota archaeon. RNAcentral describes it as "tRNA-Asn". It matches the Rfam family "tRNA". From Rfam's summary of the family: Transfer RNA (tRNA) molecules are approximately 80 nucleotides in length. Their secondary structure includes four short double-helical elements and three loops (D, anti-codon, and T loops). The record is from RNAcentral. Lineage: Archaea; Nanobdellati; Candidatus Aenigmatarchaeota.
GUCCCGGUAGCUCAGUGGUAGAGCGUUCGGCUGUUAACCGAAAGGUCGCAGGUUCAAAGAGCGUUUGACGUUCGCUAGCGAGCGUCGUUCGAAAUUCCUGCCCGGGACG